This is a long non-coding RNA of Cynoglossus semilaevis (tongue sole), 2212 nucleotides long. RefSeq lists it as uncharacterized. The transcript is spliced from 2 exons. The record is from RefSeq and is a predicted model, not a curated record. NCBI's taxonomy places the organism in Eukaryota, Metazoa, Chordata, Actinopteri, Pleuronectiformes, Cynoglossidae.
GGACAGGAGUGAGUGCCAGCAGAGGAGAUGGGGGGAGGUCCAACCUCAGCACCAGCGUUCCUCUGUCGUCUUCUUCUACAGCCACUGAAGGUGAAGGUGUUCAGCUACUCAAGGAGUAAACUCUAAGAACGAUAAGACGGAACGGACGGACGCGGGAGGUCCGCGUCCUCUCAUGGAGCUGCUCCUCCCAUUGUUAGCCGCACAGCUGCAGCCUUGUUUUGGAGACACUCGGUGUCCUUGGACUGAUCGGUGGACACUCGUCUCCACAGAUAAAGUCAAGGUACACUGGACCCACACAUCUUCAGCGAGGAAUGAAAAGAACUGUUCACUCCUUUCUGUUUUCGGAGGAUGAUGAACAACGUUUGGCCGUUAUUACAAGUACUUUCUUUUGGUGGCGCUCAAGUGAACAUCUCCAAUUUGGGAAUAAAAACUUUACAUGAAUGUUCUCUGCAAAUAUGUGAGUGAUUAAACCCUGAUUUAAUCAGGACUAGGGAUUAAAAAAAAAGGCAUCUGCAACACAACUCAGUUGACUUUCAUCUUAACCUCUAAACAGACCUUCACUGUUUUACAUCAAGACCUUCCAAUUAUUUGGCUGCAGGUUCAAAAAGGGAUUUUCUCUUACAUCACGCCUCUGGUCUGGACUGAACUAGUCUGGUGUAAGCAUUGAAUCCAAUUAUUACUGUAUAUUUUAAACAGUUUUAGAUUCUGUAAACAGUUUGGAGUUUUUUUUACUCUUAUUUGAUUUCUGUUAUAUAUUAUUAAGGACUUCACCAGAGAAAUUAACAUUUUAACAUAAAAAGAGAAACUAGUUCAGACUGUAGCGGCUCUACGUUACUUAAUUAUUAAAAACUAUAGUCUACAUUAUAAGACAAAAGACACAGCAAAACAAAAUUCAAAUAUUAUACGAAACAUUUUAAUUAUUAAUUAUAAAACGCAGAAAAAGAACAACUGGUUUCAUCUGAACAUCAAAGCACCAACACCAAACAGAAACCAUGGAACCCAGAGCCUUUGGGAGAAACAGCCGUGUUGUUAUUGUACCUCACACCUGCCCCGGCUGCCCCACUGAGAGAUCAUCACCCACAGCUACUGUAGUCAACUCGCCCCCUCUCACCCAGAACACAGUAAGGCCAGUGAUCUCAGCUGAUAGACAGAAACUGAGGCAUCUGUGAGACGAGGAAGCUGCGCGUCGUAGCUGUUUCACAGCAUCUCAUUGAAAAGCUGGAUUUUUCCCUGCGGAGGCUGGAUGUAUGGCUCAGUGAGAAAAAGUCGGAGAUCUGACAAGGCAGCUGGUUAAUUUGAUUUCAUUUAAUGAGAACUUCGUCCUGAUCCCAAGUUGGACCGAAGACAGGUUUGAUCAUGCUGUGUGACAAUGAAUAUGUCCAGAGCAGUUUGCAGUGGAUCAAUUAGAUCAGCCACCUGGGGAGUUCCUGAGUUAAUACCUUUGGCAGGUUUUUUUUUUAAUGCCAACAGUGUUGGCUGUGAAUAAUCUGCCGAUAAUGAAGCAGGAUGGAGUUUGCUGGAGAACUGCAUAGAAGACGUUCAGAUCCAUGAUAAAGCACCAGAUAUCAGUGUAAGCACCUUGGAAAACUAGUCGAUGUCUGACAUGAGAUUACACUGCACGUUGUCAUAAACUGUUCUCACUUGCACAUACACCACAGCGCCCCAACAGGUCAGCGAAAGCUACACAUGACAGAACCGAUGGUCCAGAAAACAGCCAGCCAAACUCCUGUUGAGGGUUUUUUUUAAAAGAAAUAAAAAACAAAGAAAAAUAAACCUGCAGAGAGCAAUGGAAAUAGCUGCAAUUUCCUUGAUUUAAGUGAAGGAGAGCACCACACCAUCUGUCCAACUGUAGAAAGUAUUACAAAAAAGUCCGAUGGAGUCUGAAGACAGGAGUCAAAGCGUUACAUGUGGCUGCAGUUGUAUCAAACAUCCAAGAAUAGGAAAAUCAUAACAGCAUCCACUAGAAUAAUUACAAAGGAGCUCAGUGCUGGUCAUUAACAGACUCUAUCGUCUCUAAACAUGUUCUAGAAAGACUGUUCUUUUCACGUGGACACGUUCGUGUUAACAACGUUGAGUGCAGAAGACAGUUUGACAUAAAGCUUUGAUUAUUAAUUCAACUCUCCCUUAGAUAUGCACCGUUAAGGAAAACACACACACACACAGAGUCAUACAUACAUACAUAUACACACACACACACACACACAUACAUACA